AUGCAAGUCGAGCGGUAAGGCCUUUCGGGGUACACGAGCGGCGAACGGGUGAGUAACACGUGGGUGAUCUGCCCUGCACUUCGGGAUAAGCCUGGGAAACUGGGUCUAAUACCGGAUAUGACCUCCUAUCGCAUGGUGGGUGGUGGAAAGAUUUAUCGGUGCAGGAUGGGCCCGCGGCCUAUCAGCUUGUUGGUGGGGUAAUGGCCUACCAAGGCGACGACGGGUAGCCGACCUGAGAGGGUGACCGGCCACACUGGGACUGAGACACGGCCCAGACUCCUACGGGAGGCAGCAGUGGGGAAUAUUGCACAAUGGGCGAAAGCCUGAUGCAGCGACGCCGCGUGAGGGAUGACGGCCUUCGGGUUGUAAACCUCUUUCAGCAGGGACGAAGCGCAAGUGACGGUACCUGCAGAAGAAGCACCGGCUAACUACGUGCCAGCAGCCGCGGUAAUACGUAGGGUGCAAGCGUUGUCCGGAAUUACUGGGCGUAAAGAGUUCGUAGGCGGUUUGUCGCGUCGUUUGUGAAAACCAGCAGCUCAACUGCUGGCUUGCAGGCGAUACGGGCAGACUUGAGUACUGCAGGGGAGACUGGAAUUCCUGGUGUAGCGGUGAAAUGCGCAGAUAUCAGGAGGAACACCGGUGGCGAAGGCGGGUCUCUGGGCAGUAACUGACGCUGAGGAACGAAAGCGUGGGUAGCGAACAGGAUUAGAUACCCUGGUAGUCCACGCCGUAAACGGUGGGCGCUAGGUGUGGGUUCCUUCCACGGAUCCGUGCCGUAGCUAACGCAUUAGCGCCCGCCUGGGAGUACGGCCCAAGCUAAACUCAAGAUGACGGGGCC
Molecule: ribosomal RNA, 838 nt
Filed under: Rhodococcus sp. 1130-273-10
Lineage: Bacteria; Bacillati; Actinomycetota; Actinomycetes; Mycobacteriales; Nocardiaceae
Description: bacterial SSU rRNA
Rfam family: Bacterial small subunit ribosomal RNA
Source: RNAcentral